AAAUUGAAGAGUUUGAUCAUGGCUCAGAUUGAACGCUGGCGGCAGGCCUAACACAUGCAAGUCGAGCGGUAGCACAGAGAGCUUGCUCUCGGGUGACGAGCGGCGGACGGGUGAGUAAUGUCUGGGAAACUGCCUGAUGGAGGGGGAUAACUACUGGAAACGGUAGCUAAUACCGCAUAACGUCGCAAGACCAAAGUGGGGGACCUUCGGGCCUCAUGCCAUCAGAUGUGCCCAGAUGGGAUUAGCUGGUAGGUGGGGUAACGGCUCACCUAGGCGACGAUCCCUAGCUGGUCUGAGAGGAUGACCAGCCACACUGGAACUGAGACACGGUCCAGACUCCUACGGGAGGCAGCAGUGGGGAAUAUUGCACAAUGGGCGCAAGCCUGAUGCAGCCAUGCCGCGUGUGUGAAGAAGGCCUUCGGGUUGUAAAGCACUUUCAGCGGGGAGGAAGGCGGUGAGGUUAAUAACCUCAUCGAUUGACGUUACCCGCAGAAGAAGCACCGGCUAACUCCGUGCCAGCAGCCGCGGUAAUACGGAGGGUGCAAGCGUUAAUCGGAAUUACUGGGCGUAAAGCGCACGCAGGCGGUCUGUCAAGUCGGAUGUGAAAUCCCCGGGCUCAACCUGGGAACUGCAUUCGAAACUGGCAGGCUAGAGUCUUGUAGAGGGGGGUAGAAUUCCAGGUGUAGCGGUGAAAUGCGUAGAGAUCUGGAGGAAUACCGGUGGCGAAGGCGGCCCCCUGGACAAAGACUGACGCUCAGGUGCGAAAGCGUGGGGAGCAAACAGGAUUAGAUACCCUGGUAGUCCACGCUGUAAACGAUGUCGAUUUGGAGGUUGUGCCCUUGAGGCGUGGCUUCCGGAGCUAACGCGUUAAAUCGACCGCCUGGGGAGUACGGCCGCAAGGUUAAAACUCAAAUGAAUUGACUGGGGGCCCGCACAAGCGGUGGAGCAUGUGGUUUAAUUCGAUGCAACGCGAAGAACCUUACCUGGUCUUGACAUCCACAGAACUUAGCAGAGAUGCUUUGGUGCCUUCGGGAACUGUGAGACAGGUGCUGCAUGGCUGUCGUCAGCUCGUGUUGUGAAAUGUUGGGUUAAGUCCCGCAACGAGCGCAACCCUUAUCCUUUGUUGCCAGCGGUUAGGCCGGGAACUCAAAGGAGACUGCCAGUGAUAAACUGGAGGAAGGUGGGGAUGACGUCAAGUCAUCAUGGCCCUUACGACCAGGGCUACACACGUGCUACAAUGGCAUAUACAAAGAGAAGCGACCUCGCGAGAGCAAGCGGACCUCAUAAAGUAUGUCGUAGUCCGGAUUGGAGUCUGCAACUCGACUCCAUGAAGUCGGAAUCGCUAGUAAUCGUAGAUCAGAAUGCUACGGUGAAUACGUUCCCGGGCCUUGUACACACCGCCCGUCACACCAUGGGAGUGGGUUGCAAAAGAAGUAGGUAGCUUAACCUUCGGGAGGGCGCUUACCACUUUGUGAUUCAUGACUGGGGUGAAGUCGUAACAAGGUAACCGUAGGGGAACCUGCGGUUGGAUCACCUCCUUA
Molecule: ribosomal RNA, 1541 nt
Filed under: Klebsiella variicola
Lineage: Bacteria; Pseudomonadati; Pseudomonadota; Gammaproteobacteria; Enterobacterales; Enterobacteriaceae
Description: bacterial SSU rRNA
Rfam family: Bacterial small subunit ribosomal RNA
Source: RNAcentral